RNAcentral lists this ribosomal RNA (405 nucleotides) under uncultured bacterium. RNAcentral describes it as "bacterial SSU rRNA". It matches the Rfam family "Bacterial small subunit ribosomal RNA", at positions 29 to 426 of the family's 1533-position model. The record is from RNAcentral.
AACGAACGCUGGCGGCGCGCCUAAUACAUGCAAGUCGAGCGAGAAGACGUAGCAAUACGUUUGUAAAGCGGCGAACGGGUGAGGAAUACAUGGGUAACCUACCCUCGAGUGGGGAAUAACUAGCCGAAAGGUUAGCUAAUACCGCGUACGCUCCUUGGACUUCGGUUCAGGGAGGAAAGCGAUACCGUGGGUAUCGCGCUCUUGGAUGGGCUCAUGUCCUAUCAGCUUGUUGGUGAGGAACGGCUCACCAAGGCUUCGACGGGUAGCUGGUCUGAGAGGACGAUCAGCCACACUGGCACUGCGACACGGGCCAGACUCCUACGGGAGGCAGCAGUAAGGAUAUUGCGCAAUGGGCGAAAGCCUGACGCAGCGACGCCGCGUGGGGGAUGAAGGUCUUCGGAUUGU